CCUACGGGCGGCAGCAGUGAGGAAUAUUGGUCAAUGGGCGCAAGCCUGAACCAGCCAAGUAGCGUGCAGGAUGACGGCCCUACGGGUUGUAAACUGCUUUUAUACGGGAAUAAAGCGCGAUACGUGUAUCGUUUUGAAUGUACCGUAUGAAUAAGGAUCGGCUAACUCCGUGCCAGCAGCCGCGGUAAUACGGAGGAUUCGAGCGUUAUCCGGAUUUAUUGGGUUUAAAGGGUGCGUAGGCGGGUUGUUAAGUUAGAUGUGAAAUGCCGGGGCUCAACCCCGGCAUUGCAACUGAUACUGGCGGGCUUGAGUUCAGUUGAGGUAGGCGGAAUUCGUGGUGUAGCGGUGAAAUGCUUAGAGAUCACGAAGAACACCGAUUGCGAAGGCAGCUUACUAAACUGCGACUGACGUUGAGGCUCGAAAGCGUGGGUAUCAAACAGGAUUAGAUACCCGUGUAGUC
This 460-nucleotide ribosomal RNA is filed under the name uncultured bacterium. RNAcentral describes it as "partial 16S ribosomal RNA". It matches the Rfam family "Bacterial small subunit ribosomal RNA", at positions 338 to 795 of the family's 1533-position model. The record is from RNAcentral.